UCUCUCUCUAUACUCUCUUUUCCUCCAUUGAUGUCCAUUGAAGAAAGCUUAGAGAAGCUUCAUCAAACACUACUAUGAGAUAAUCCACUAUCCAAUCCAAUCAAACACUAUCAUAUCUCAUCAAAUUCAAGAAGCUAGAGCUAAGAUCAAAGUUGGAGCAAAGUCUUGAUCACCUUUUAAAUCCUUGAACACGAGAAGAGCAAGGAAGUAAGUAACUCCACUUUGACGGGAGAUUUUGAGUAAGGUCUUCAGGAUAAGCGGAGGGGGAGUAUGGUGCGGUGCUGGUGGAGAAUGUUUCGGGUUGACGUUUUCUUUCUCUAUCGUAUGUCUGUUUUGUCGAUAGAGUUUUGAUAUGAAGUUAUGUUAAAUAGAGUUUGAUGUUUAAGAUACUUAAUUUCCUUUGAAAAUCAAGCAAUA
Molecule: long non-coding RNA, 417 nt
Organism: Salvia miltiorrhiza (redroot sage)
Lineage: Eukaryota; Viridiplantae; Streptophyta; Magnoliopsida; Lamiales; Lamiaceae
Exons: 3
Source: RefSeq, a predicted model, not a curated record